RNAcentral lists this ribosomal RNA (792 nucleotides) under uncultured bacterium. RNAcentral's name for it is "bacterial SSU rRNA". It matches the Rfam family "Bacterial small subunit ribosomal RNA", at positions 140 to 911 of the family's 1533-position model. The record is from RNAcentral.
GGGAUAACAUUUGGAAACAGAUGCUAAUACCGCAUAACCACAGAAACCACAUGGUUUCUGUGUCAAAGAUGGUUUCGGCUAUCACUUUGGGAUGGACCCGCGGCGUAUUAGCUAGUUGGUAAGGUAAUGGCUUACCAAGGCAAUGAUACGUAGCCGAACUGAGAGGUUGAUCGGCCACAUUGGGACUGAGACACGGCCCAAACUCCUACGGGAGGCAGCAGUAGGGAAUCUUCCACAAUGGACGAAAGUCUGAUGGAGCAACGCCGCGUGAGUGAAGAAGGUUUUCGGAUCGUAAAACUCUGUUGUCAGAGAAGAACGUGUGCGAGAGUAACUGCUCGUGCAGUGACGGUAUCUGGCCAGAAAGCCACGGCUAACUACGUGCCAGCAGCCGCGGUAAUACGUAGGUGGCAAGCGUUGUCCGGAUUUAUUGGGCGUAAAGGGAACGCAGGCGGUCUUUUAAGUCUGAUGUGAAAGCCUUCGGCUUAACCGAAGUCGUGCAUUGGAAACUGGGAGACUUGAGUGCAGAAGAGGAGAGUGGAACUCCAUGUGUAGCGGUGAAAUGCGUAGAUAUAUGGAAGAACACCAGUGGCGAAAGCGGCUCUCUGGUCUGUAACUGACGCUGAGGUUCGAAAGCGUGGGUAGCAAACAGGAUUAGAUACCCUGGUAGUCCACGCUGUAAACGAUGAAUGCUAAGUGUUUGGAAGGGUUUCCGCCCCUUCAGUGCCGCAGCAAACGCAUUAAGCAUUCCGCCUGGGGGAGUACGACCGCAAAGGUUGAAACUCAAAAGGAAUU